GCUGCGGGAAAGAGAAAAAAUUUAAAAUGUUCUUAAGCGGCUGGCACUACCAUCUCAAUGACUGGCAAGGAGCAUUUGGGGAUGAAUGUUUGCAAGGCUGCCUUCUACUAUUCUCAAACCUCAGUUCUUCGCGAAAAGGUCAUAACGAUUGAUCGAAACAUUUUUAAUGGUUUUUACUCCCCUGAUUAAUCAGGGCACUAAUGUUUCCAUCCCUCCCCGGUCUGUUUCGGACUGUGCUGUGUUUACUUCGAAGAAAACUGGAAUUACCGUUUCUUCCUAAAGAGAAAAUUAAAGAUCUACCACUUAGAAAAGUUGAAAUACCGCAUACCCUUAAUUAACAUAGCGCAUCAUAAUAAAAGAAUUAGCCCCCCCUUAGAGAUUAGCUUGAAAAAGGUUUUAUCCAUGGAAUUGGUGGUAAAAAAGCGACGCUUUGGACAUUAUUGUAGAUGAGUACAUUCCAACAUACUCAGAAAUCUUAAGAAUUAAUAUUUCUACUUU
Molecule: long non-coding RNA, 498 nt
Organism: Zophobas morio
Lineage: Eukaryota; Metazoa; Arthropoda; Insecta; Coleoptera; Tenebrionidae
Exons: 3
Source: RefSeq, a predicted model, not a curated record